UUACCUUCCAUUAAAAACCUGGGUUCUGUUCCUAUAGAAACUGCUGUAGCCCAUUUGGGAUUUAACGAGCUUCCCACAGGCUGCCAUCCUUUACCCCAUUUCUGAGAAGCCACUUGAGAUCAUUUGUCGAGGCCCCAUGUGACUCGGGAAAGGCCGGCCAUCUGCUGCUCAGCCCUGGCUCAGCCCUGGCUCGCCCACAGCUGCCUCUGUCCUUCCAUCAUCCUGGCAGAGAGCGCCCAGCAAAACCCAACUGACACGCUGGGAACGUACAAAGAGGCUUUCAGCACAUCCACCACUUUGAAACGGUUCCAGUUUAUACCACAUCAGACACAUACUAGUUCUUUUCUAAGUGACUGAGUUCCUCAGUCAGUUACCAGUUCCAGGGCUAUAGCACAACACCAAGGAUAAUCCAUCAACCUGUUAGCAGGCAACUGCUGAAGGUGAGAGGCCCAUUUAUGCCCCCCCCCCAACGUUAUUGGUUGGUUACAUUCAGGGAAUAGCUCUAUAGUCAGCAAGGUUCCCACCAC
RNAcentral lists this long non-coding RNA (527 nucleotides) under Vulpes vulpes (red fox). RNAcentral's name for it is "lncRNA (ENSVVUG00000022110.1)". Lineage: Eukaryota; Metazoa; Chordata; Mammalia; Carnivora; Canidae. The record is from RNAcentral.